This 480-nucleotide long non-coding RNA is filed under the name Populus trichocarpa (black cottonwood). RNAcentral describes it as "long non-coding RNA (PTRI_LNC002831)". Lineage: Eukaryota; Viridiplantae; Streptophyta; Magnoliopsida; Malpighiales; Salicaceae. The record is from RNAcentral.
GUUCACAACCUACAUCAGGGAUGUAAUAAUCCACCACGGCUUCCACAUCCAUCUACUAUCUCCAGAUUGAUUCCACAAGCCCUAUUUCCAGCUCUCUCAAAGCAAACCCUGCAUCAAGCAGUUUCUGCUCAGCACAGAUGAUCAAUUGUGAGAGAGUGUGAGUCUUCCUUAUCACAUUAACUUUCUCCUCUAUUUUUUGUUUUCUUGGUCAUAUGGUUAGGUUAGUGAUCUAUGCUGCGCGUGAUUUUACAAAUUUGCAGCAAGAAUUGCUCAUUUAAGAUAACAAUGUUCUCGUAUAUUUCAUUGAACUGAAGAGCUUAAAGAUCAUGCAAAUUAUGAAUUCGUACAACAGGAAUUAGAAAAUUUACACUGUUAGUGUGCUUACUGUUGUUCUGUUUGUUGAAGGAUGCCGAUGCAUGCAACUGAUACACUACCUCUUCAAGCAUUUAUGAAGCCGAUGAUUCCAAAUCAUGCAUCAGU